AUUGAACGCUGGCGGCAGGCCUAACACAUGCAAGUCGAACGAGUGGCGGACGGGUGAGUAAUGUCUGGGAAACUGCCUGAUGGAGGGGGCUAACUACUGGAAACGGUAGCUAAUACCGCAUACCAUCAGAUGUGCCCAGGUGGGAUUAGCGAGUUGGUGGGGUAACGGCUCACCAAGGCGACGCUCCCUAGCUGGUCUGAGAGGAUGACCAGCCACACUGGAACUGAGACACGGUCCAGACUCCUACGGGAGGCAGCAGUGGGGAAUAUUGGACAAUGGGCGAAAGCCUGACGCAGCCAUGCCGCGUGUAUGAAGAAGGCCUUCGGGUUGUAAAGUACUUUCAUCGGGGAGGCGUUACCCGCAGAAGAAGCACCGGCUAACUCCGUGCCAGCAGCCGCGGUAAUUC
Molecule: ribosomal RNA, 406 nt
Filed under: uncultured bacterium
Lineage: Bacteria
Description: partial 16S ribosomal RNA
Rfam family: Bacterial small subunit ribosomal RNA
Source: RNAcentral